RNAcentral lists this non-coding RNA (45 nucleotides) under Schistosoma haematobium. The record is from RNAcentral. Lineage: Eukaryota; Metazoa; Platyhelminthes; Trematoda; Strigeidida; Schistosomatidae.
AUUCAGCUGACGAAUCCCAAACAGGACGGAACGCGCGUCCUAGAU